This 848-nucleotide ribosomal RNA is filed under the name Photobacterium damselae. Its description in RNAcentral is "bacterial SSU rRNA". It matches the Rfam family "Bacterial small subunit ribosomal RNA", at positions 368 to 1212 of the family's 1533-position model. The record is from RNAcentral. Lineage: Bacteria; Pseudomonadati; Pseudomonadota; Gammaproteobacteria; Vibrionales; Vibrionaceae.
GUCAUGGGGGACUGAUGCAGCCAUGCCGCGUGUGUGAAGAAGGCCUUCGGGUUGUAAAGCACUUUCAGUAGGGAGGAAGGUAGUGUAGUUAACACCUGCAUUAUUUGACGUUACCUACAGAAGAAGCACCGGCUAACUCCGUGCCAGCAGCCGCGGUAAUACGGAGGGUGCGAGCGUUAAUCGGAAUUACUGGGCGUAAAGCGCAUGCAGGCGGCCUGUUAAGUCAGAUGUGAAAGCCCGGGGCUUAACCUCGGAAUUGCAUUUGAAACUGGCAGGCUAGAGUCUUGUAGAGGGGGGUAGAAUUUCAGGUGUAGCGGUGAAAUGCGUAGAGAUCUGAAGGAAUACCAGUGGCGAAGGCGGCCCCCUGGACAAAGACUGACGCUCAGAUGCGAAAGCGUGGGGAGCAAACAGGAUUAGAUACCCUGGUAGUCCACGCCGUAAACGAUGUCUACUUGGAGGUUGUGGCCUUGAGCCGUGGCUUUCGGAGCUAACGCGUUAAGUAGACCGCCUGGGGAGUACGGUCGCAAGAUUAAAACUCAAAUGAAUUGACGGGGGCCCGCACAAGCGGUGGAGCAUGUGGUUUAAUUCGAUGCAACGCGAAGAACCUUACCUACUCUUGACAUCCAGAGAAGCUUGAAGAGAUUCGAGUGUGCCUUCGGGAACUCUGAGACAGGUGCUGCAUGGCUGUCGUCAGCUCGUGUUGUGAAAUGUUGGGUUAAGUCCCGCAACGAGCGCAACCCUUAUCCUUGUUUGCCAGCACUUCGGGUGGGAACUCCAGGGAGACUGCCGGUGAUAAACCGGGAGGAAGGUGGGGACGACGUCAAGUCAUCGUGGCCCUUACGAGUAGG